AGCGGCCAAACCGUUGAGGCUAGAAACACAAUUCACCCACAGGAAUGCUUGGGAGGUCCUCCUUAUUUACUCAGACCAUUUGACAUGAACCCUUAACAGUGAAUCAAUUCCUAAAUGUGCCUUACUUCUCUCCCCUUAGGAAGGUUACCCUAGCAAACUACCAUCAAUGACAACUAAUCAGUAAAAGGAUUACAUGUGUUGAUUUUCAGGUUCCUGGAAGUGGUUAAAUUGACCCUAAAACAUGUUUUGAAAUCACUGCCUACAGUUAGAGCAAAACACUGUAUUCAUCCCUCUGUAAAUCAAUCACUUUUUAACAUAAAGGCUUGAAACUCAGGAUUAUGUAAAAAGGUGUCCCAGUGAGGAAAUGUGUUUAAUUACAGCUUCCUGUGACAACCGGAAGUAUCUUACAUUGGGGUCAUAGGUGCUGUUUUGAGGGGUUAAAAAGGUCACAUCUUUCCAAAAUGUCAUAUGUGUGAUUAGGCAACCCUCAUAAACCGGUACAUACAAGAAAACCAGGUUUUAAAGUUGUAUUCAACAGCCGUCCCAUCAUUUCAAAACAGUUGAAAGGUUGAGUCAUCUCCUGAGUUGAAGUUAACAGCCUAUCAACAUUCAGUUGUCAUAGAGGGUGGGUGCCCCCUGGUGGCUGAACCCGAGAUCAAUGAGAGAGCUUGUCAGUCACACUUCUCUGUCAUUCCACAAAGUAGAGAGGGGGAAAAAAUUUGUGAAAAUUAAUCAAAUGAAUAUACAUCAAAACAUGAAAGGAUCAGACUUAUUAUCUUGAAAUGUUGAAAAUGUUGUGUAAAAUAAGCAUUCUAUCAUUUAAUAAGCUAGCUAGGACGGAUGUGGUCAAUUUAACUGUUUGUUUAGCACUUUGAAAUGUACAGCGACAGAAUUCAGAACAUGGGUCAUUCUUACAGUAUUUUCCUUGAUCACCAAGUCAGAACUGUAGGAUAAAAAAAGGUGGCAUAUCAGCAGACAAUGAAAGCUCUAACAAUAUUCAGUGAUGACAUUUCUCUAAAUUAGCCUAUAGAUUUCAUGUGCACCAACAAGUCAGAACAGUAGGCUAAGUUAUGAGGGGUCUGGCAUUCUCUGCAUUUAUGGUGCUUUCAAGCCAACUGGGAAGUCGGAAAAAAACAAGGUCAUAUCAUGACAUCAGUGAUCUUCAGGAAAGAGCUCUAGAAAGAGGCCUGUGUCCCCGACUUGGAAUUCAGAGUUGGAUGACCAAUCAAACCAAUUUUUUAUCCAGUCGGAGUUCGCUUUUUUCAGACUUCCCAGUUGUGUUGAACUCACUGAAGUUGGAUGUCUGAGAUUUCCCAGUUUCCAGUUGUUUUGAAUGCUGCAUUAAUGCUCAGAGGGAGACGGCAGGGUAUUUAUUCCCUUUGAGUCAGAAACCAAAACUCCUCGAGUUUCCAGUUGUUUUGGAGGUGAUUAGUCAUCAUUCGCGUGGGACUCUUACUGAUGUUGUUUUCUGUUAACAACAGCAUCACAGGCAUGACUAGAACACAAGGUAACGACAGCAUCACCACCACAGACAUGACUAGAACACAAGGUAACGACAGCAUCACCACCACAGACAUGACUAGAACACAAGGUAACAACAAGAUCACCACCACAGACAUGACUAGAACACAAGGUAACAACAGCAUCACCAUCACAGACAUGACUAGAACACAAGGUAACAACAGCAUCACCACCACAGACAUGACUAGAACACAAGGUAACAACAAGAUCACCACCACAGACAUGACUAGAACACAAGGUAACAACAGCAUCACCAUCACAGACAUGACUAGAACACAAGGUAACAACAGCAUCACCACCACAGACAUGACUAGAACACAAGGUAACAACAAGAUCACCACCACAGACAUGACUAGAACACAAGGUAAC
Long non-coding RNA from Oncorhynchus tshawytscha (Chinook salmon), 1890 nucleotides. Lineage: Eukaryota; Metazoa; Chordata; Actinopteri; Salmoniformes; Salmonidae. The record is from Ensembl.